UUACAGGUGGGGCUUUUUUUCUUAAACCUUUAUCCAUCUUGAAAAUUCUUCUCCAGGAGAGGGAAGAAUGGUUAUCUUCAUUUGAUCAAUGGGAGAGGAGGCACAAGACAAGAUGUACAUGGAAGAUCUGUCUUAACAACUUUCAUUCUCAGUGGCCUGAUUGUCAGGAAGUAUGGCAUUAUCUGUUCUUAGUGAGUGAAGGAGCAGAGACAAAAACUACUAUCAGAAGGAGCAGGAGGGAAAAGUAAUGUAAAACUUUGCUAGUGUUGAGUUCUGGGAACACAUCCAGAUACUCCAGAAGAGUAAAAUGAAUUCAGGUAACUAAUAUCACUACGGUGUGUAACUCAAAAUAAUUAAAUUACAUUGUCAUUUGUUUGUGACAAAGAGGGAAGG
This 393-nucleotide long non-coding RNA is filed under the name Phasianus colchicus (ring-necked pheasant). Its description in RNAcentral is "lncRNA (ENSPCLG00000003762.1)". The record is from RNAcentral. Lineage: Eukaryota; Metazoa; Chordata; Aves; Galliformes; Phasianidae.